GAGUUUGAUCUUAGCUCAGAACGAACGCUGGCGGCAUGCCUAACACAUGCAAGUCGAACGAGACCUUCGGGUCUAGUGGCGCACGGGUGCGUAACGCGUGGGAAUCUGCCCUUGGGUUCGGGAUAACAGUUGGAAACGACUGCUAAUACCGGAUGAUGACUUCGGUCCAAAGAUUUAUCGCCCAGGGAUGAGCCCGCGUCGGAUUAGCUAGUUGGUGAGGUAAAGGCUCACCAAGGCGACGAUCCGUAGCUGGUCUGAGAGGAUGAUCAGCCACACUGGGACUGAGACACGGCCCAGACUCCUACGGGAGGCAGCAGUGGGGAAUAUUGGACAAUGGGCGAAAGCCUGAUCCAGCAAUGCCGCGUGAGUGAUGAAGGCCUUAGGGUUGUAAAGCUCUUUUACCCGGGAUGAUAAUGACAGUACCGGGAGAAUAAGCCCCGGCUAACUCCGUGCCAGCCGCCGCGGUAAC
Molecule: ribosomal RNA, 469 nt
Filed under: uncultured Alphaproteobacteria bacterium
Lineage: Bacteria; Pseudomonadati; Pseudomonadota; Alphaproteobacteria
Also listed under: 1 other name
Description: bacterial SSU rRNA
Rfam family: Bacterial small subunit ribosomal RNA
Source: RNAcentral